Acinonyx jubatus (cheetah) is the source of this 616-nucleotide long non-coding RNA. RefSeq lists it as uncharacterized. The transcript is spliced from 3 exons. NCBI's taxonomy places the organism in Eukaryota, Metazoa, Chordata, Mammalia, Carnivora, Felidae. The record is from RefSeq and is a predicted model, not a curated record.
AGCAAGAAUUGGGGGGCAGGAAUAAAAGGGGGGCUACCAGCUGAGACCAUACUCUGAGAACAACUGGACAAAGCGGGCAAGUAAAUUAAGACUCUUUUUUGGAGCCAAUCUGAGUAGGACCAUCUAACCAGCAGGAAGAGUUGGAAGAGACCAAAGCAGGAAGUGUGGUGAGCAGGAAUGAAAGGGGCCUAGUAACUGAGACCCUACUCAGAACACUACUUGACCCAGGGGGCAAGAAAACAGGACUCUUUAUUGGGGCCUGUUGAGCAGGACCAACUACACAUCAGGAAUCGUUGGAAGAGACCAAACCGGGGCUCUGCGAGCUCUGCAGUUGAGGCCUUGGUCUGAGGCAGGAGUCCUGAGGUCACAGAGCAGAGGAGGAGGCGCGGCCGCGUGCCAGUCGGUUGUCCAGGCGAGGGUCUGGCGACCAUCAUGCCCCUGGGUGAGAGGAGUGUGUUCUGCAAGCCUAAGGAGGAGCCAAGAGAGGUCCCGCUGCCACGGGAUGCACCGCUGCCAGAGCCUGAGGACAGGGAGGUGGAGGAGGUGGAGUUGAAGAAGGAGGAGGUGGAGUUGAAGAAGGAGGAGGUGGAGGUGGAGGAGGUGGAGGAGGUGGAUG